Molecule: long non-coding RNA, 4062 nt
Filed under: Arachis ipaensis
Lineage: Eukaryota; Viridiplantae; Streptophyta; Magnoliopsida; Fabales; Fabaceae
Description: long non-coding RNA (AIPA_LNC002423)
Source: RNAcentral
GCUUACGCUUUCAAUGGAUUUGUUUUUUGUAACAAAAGGCCAAGUUGAAUGAAAGAAUGAUCCCCUAACCAAAAAAAAAGGGCUAAUCAACUACUACCACUACUCUAUAGUUAAUUAUGCUAAAAAAAAAUAAGUUCAAUAUAACUUAUACAAUUGCCAAUUUGCCUAUUUGACACUGAAAAAUAGCUGUUAGAAGUGAGGAAUUUUCUCCGUACAAAAACAAACAACUUUGAGCAAGCUUCUAUAGCUGGGGACAUCGAUUACGGUGGAACUCUCCAUGAGAACCAACAAUAUAAAAAAGAAGCAGACCUAAUGCAAAAAAGUAAGAAGAAAGUCAGAAAAAAGGGUGUAGAAUAUCAGAUAGGCAAAGUAUGAUUCCAAAGAAAGAAGAAUGGAUAAGGGAGGGGCCCGUCUUAGGAAGCCACUAGAGAAAAAGCAAUUCUUUUGCCCAAGCAGUUGAAAAUGGACCUAUCGAAAAUGACAAAGAGGAUGUUUAAGAAAUGGAAGAAGAAGACUCAAAGGAAACAGAUAAAGAGGAUUUUGAAGAUAUUAGAAAAGAUACAGAUCAAGAAAUCAGGAUUGAAAAAGUGGAAGAAGGACUUCUCAACAUUAUUAUUGAGGAUGCUAUAGAGAGAAAACCUUGGAAGCCAUGGUGGAACACCCUUAUAGUCAAAUUAUUGGGAAAAAAAGCAGGUUAUGUGGUUAUGAAAAGAAGGCUAGAAUCCAUGUGGGGAAAAAAAGAACCAUAGACGUUAUUGAUCUUGGUCAAGAAUAUUACCUAGUGAAGUUCCACUCUAGUGAGGAUUUUGAUUUCGCUCUACUAGAAGGUCCAUAAAAUCUCUAUGAUCAUUACCUAAUUGUGAGGCUAUGGGAACCAAAUUUCAACCUUUCAAUAGCAUCUAUUGACAAAAUUACUGCAUGGGUCAGACUCCCAGGCUUGCCAAUCGAGCUUUAAAACAUAACUAUACUAAGAAAGAUUGGAAACUUAAUUGGAAGAACAAUAAAAGUAGAUGAUAACAUAACUGGAUUAUGCAGAGGCAAGUUCGCAAGACUUUGUGUGGAAGUGGACAUUACAAAGCCUUUAAUGGGAUAUGAAGAGAAUAUAAGGUGGAAUAUGAAGGUAUCCACCAAAUAUGCUUUCAGUGUGGAAAAAUUGUCCAUUUAAGAGAGACAAAACACAGGGGGAUGAAAUCCAUAACAUGUAAAACAAGGGGAGAGCAGAUAGUUCAGACAAAGAAAGAGAAAACAGUGACGCACUAAGAGAUGCUGAAGAAGCAGGCGUCAUGGUUAAAAGAGAUAAAGGCAAGGAAAUAAUGACUGGUGAACAAUAUAACUUUGGGGAACGGAUGAUAGUACAACGUCCAAGAAGGGGAAGAAGAAACCAAAAAGAGGAAGAAGCCAGAAACAAACCAAAAAUAAGUAAAGUCAAAGGAAAAGAAGACUACACAGAGACAAACUCACGAUAUGGAGUGCUUACUAUUGAGGAACCAGAGCAGACUAUAAAUGAAGAGAGGCAAGAUAAAUACAAUGACAGAACCAACAAAAAACCAGAACAGCAACAAAAAGAAAACAACAAGGGAGUUAACAACAAGCAUCUAAAAGGAAAAAGCAAUAAGGAAACAUCUAAAACCAAUAAAAAUCAGCAAACAAAAUAGAAGGACUUUCAAGUGCAACAAAGUACAAAGUCUGAAAGAGGCAAUCAAAUGAAGCCAAAAGAGACAGAAGAGGAAGUUGAAGAAUAAGAAGAAAAUUAUAUAGAAGUAGCGAAUGUGCAUCAUGAACAGAACUGGAUUGAAGAAACCAUUGACACACCCACUUUGAUGGAGGAAUGUAUUGAGCCUACAAGCAAAGAACACCCAGCCUCUUGAAGACCUCCAGACUCCUACACUAAUGCAGGAAAUGGGGAAGCUAGCUAAACGCCUAUGGAUACAGAGGAAGCAAACAGAGAUCUUGUUAACAACCUAAUUGAGGGAGUGGACUUUACUACUCCACAGAUCAGUGCAUUGAAGGACACUAAUAUGCACAUGAAUUAAUUCCCCGAAUUUUUUUAGUUGGUUAUUGGUUUUCUUUUUUCUUAUUUAUUUUAUUUUUAUAAUGAUAAAAUUAUUUGUAUGGAAUGUUAGCCAGGCAGCUAGCGGAGCAUUUAGAAGAACUUUUAAAGAGUUGAUGAGGUAACACAAGCCAGAUAUAGCAAUUCUACUAAAAAUCAAGUGCAGUAGGGAUAAGACCAAGAGAAUGAUAUAACAACUAGAUUUUAAUCACUAUAUCAUAGAGGAUGCGCAGGGAUUUGUAGGGGGAAUUUAGAUCCUUCAGAAUAGAAUCGACUUAAACAUUAUUGUGAUGGAGUCUCAAAAUCAAUACAUUCAUAUGAAAGUUAGAAAACAUGGCAGAAGGGACUGGUUUUUAACUGCGAUCUAUGCCAACCUACAUUACCAAAAUAGAAGAUCCAUUUGGCCAAAGCUCUUAAACAUAGCUAACUCCAUGCAAGAAGAAUGGCUUAUGGCAGGUGAUUUUUAUGAAAUAAAGGAUGGUACAGACAAAAAAGGUGGAGUAAACAUCGACACGAAAGCGUGUAAUGCGUUUGCGAAUUGGAUUAACAGUUGUGGUCUUAUUGACCUAAGAUCCAUUGGCCCAAGAUACACUUCGAGAGGACCAAAAAUGGGAAAGUUACGAUAGAGUUUCAAAAGGCUUGAUAGAGCUCUAGCUAACUAACCUUGGAGAACUAGAUUCCAUGAUGCGGUGGUGGAAGUGUUGAUCAGAACUAACUCUGAUCACCACCCCAUACUCAUCACAGUGGAAAAAGAUUCUAUUAAGGAAAAGAACAGGCCAUUUCAUUUCAAAACUAUGUGGGGGCUACAUCCAGACUUCUAUAAUAUUUUAAAAGGUAGUUAAGACAAUCAUAACAGCUUUAUGGUCGCUCUCAACAAGUUGGAGAAGGACUUGACUGCGUGGAAUAAAAAUUGUUUUGGCAAUAUUUUUAAACAAAAAAAGCAAAAUUCUAAACAGAUUAACAGGUAUACAAAGAAGUAAUGAUUAUGGGAGAAACCCUUUCCUUAAAGAGCUAGAACAAAAACUGAAUCAGGAACUAAAUGUGAUCCUUGAUCAGGAAGAAACAUACUGGAUGUGUAAGUCUAGAGAGAAAUGGAUCGUGGAUGGGGAUAGAAAUACCAGGUUUUACUACACAAAAGCCAUCAUAAAGAGAAGAAAAAAUAGAAUCCUUAAAUUAAAAGACACAACAGGAAGGUGGAUUGAAGAUGAAGAGGAACUAGGAAUGCACAUAAUCAACCAUUUCAAAAAUCUUUAUACAAAAGAGGUGAGAAUUGUUCCUUUUGAGCUUGAUCACUAUGACACCCCUAAUUUUGAUAUUCAUAAUUGCAGGAAGCUAAGAGAAAACCCCAACGAAGCAAAAAUAAAAAGAGUAGUCUUUAGCAUUGGAUCCACAAAGGCCCCAGAAAGUGAUGGUUUUCCGGCUCUUAUUUACAAAAAACAACUGGGAUAUCAUGAAGGAAAAAGUGUGUGACUUUAUUGGCUCAUACUGGAAAGUACUAAAUCUCAUCCAACUGGCUAACUCCACUCUUUUAGUCCUUGUGCCUAAGAUUAACAACCCGGAAUAUAUCAGUCAAUUCAGUCCUAUAGCCUUGUGCAAUGUGAGCUACAAGAUUAUCACCAAAAUUCUAGUUGAGAGAAUCAAACCCCACUUGGAGAGUAGAAUAAUGAUCCACCAAUCAAGUUUCAUACCAAGAAAGAAAAUUCAAGACAACAUCAUCAUAGCAAAGGAGCUGAUCCAACAAUGAGAAGAAUAUGGGGGAAGAAAAGAUUUAUGGCUAUAAAGAUCGAUUUUGAGAAGACGUAUGAUAGAUUGAGAUGAGAAUUCAUCAAGACUAGGCUAAAGGAAUUCAAGUUACUAGAAAAAAUUAUUAAGAUAGUCAUGAGUUGCAUGUCAAGCGUAUCAUACAAUAUUCUCUGGAAUAGAAACAAAACAGAAGAUUUCAUGUCAAAAAGAGGAGUUAGACAAGGAGAUCCAAUUUUUUCCUACCUUUUUAUUAUUUGUGUGGACAAGCU